RNAcentral lists this transfer RNA (57 nucleotides) under Brachionus rubens. RNAcentral's name for it is "tRNA-Phe". The record is from RNAcentral. Lineage: Eukaryota; Metazoa; Rotifera; Eurotatoria; Ploima; Brachionidae.
UUAGUUAUAAUUAAACAACAUUAAAGAAGUUUUGAUAUCACAUAGUGAUUACCUUAU